GAUGAACGCUGGCGGCGUGCCUAAUACAUGCAAGUCGAGCGAACAGACGAGGAGCUUGCUCCUCUGACGUUAGCGGCGGACGGGUGAGUAACACGUGGAUAACCUACCUAUAAGACUGGGAUAACUUCGGGAAACCGGAGCUAAUACCGGAUAAUAUAUUGAACCGCAUGGUUCAAUAGUGAAAGACGGUUUUGCUGUCACGUAUAGAUGGAUCCGCGCCGCAUUAGCUAGUUGGUAAGGUAACGGCUUACCAAGGCGACGAUGCGUAGCCGACCUGAGAGGGUGAUCGGCCACACUGGAACUGAGACACGGUCCAGACUCCUACGGGAGGAAGCAGUAGGGAAUCUUCCGCAAUGGGCGAAAGCCUGACGGAGCAACGCCGCGUGAGUGAUGAAGGUCUUCGGAUCGUAAAACUCUGUUAUUAGGGAAGAACAAAUGUGUAAGUAACUAUGCACGUCUUGACGGUACCUAAUCAGAAAGCCACGGCUAACUACGUG
This 497-nucleotide ribosomal RNA is filed under the name uncultured bacterium. RNAcentral's name for it is "partial 16S ribosomal RNA". It matches the Rfam family "Bacterial small subunit ribosomal RNA", at positions 28 to 507 of the family's 1533-position model. The record is from RNAcentral.